RNAcentral lists this non-coding RNA (30 nucleotides) under Mus musculus (house mouse). Lineage: Eukaryota; Metazoa; Chordata; Mammalia; Rodentia; Muridae. The record is from RNAcentral.
UGAGAUUAAAUGUGUGUCCCACCACGCUCU